UACGUAGGGUGCGAGCGUUGUCCGGAAUUAUUGGGCGUAAAGGGCUCGUAGGCGGUCUGUCACGUCGGGAGUGAAAACUCAGGGCUUAACCCUGAGCCUGCUUCCGAUACGGGCUGACUAGAGGUAUGCAGGGGAGAACGGAAUUCCUGGUGUAGCGGUGAAAUGCGCAGAUAUCAGGAGGAACACCGGUGGCGAAGGCGGUUCUCUGGGCAUUACCUGACGCUGAGACGCGAAAGCGUGGGGAGCAAACAGG
RNAcentral lists this ribosomal RNA (253 nucleotides) under uncultured bacterium. RNAcentral's name for it is "partial 16S ribosomal RNA". It matches the Rfam family "Bacterial small subunit ribosomal RNA", at positions 524 to 776 of the family's 1533-position model. The record is from RNAcentral.